CAGCAGCCGCGGUAAUACGUAGGUGGCAAGCGUUGUCCGGAAUUAUUGGGCGUAAAGGGCUCGCAGGCGGUUUCUUAAGUCUGAUGUGAAAGCCCCCGGCUCAACCGGGGAGGGUCAUUGGAAACUGGGAAACUUGAGUGCAGAAGAGGAGAGUGGAAUUCCACGUGUAGCGGUGAAAUGCGUAGAGAUGUGGAGGAACACCAGUGGCGAAGGCGACUCUCUGGUCUGUAACCGACGCUGAGGAGCGAAAGCGUGGGGAGCGAACAGGAUUAGAUACCCCUGUAGUCCCUGUCUCUUAUAC
Molecule: ribosomal RNA, 301 nt
Filed under: uncultured bacterium
Lineage: Bacteria
Description: partial 16S ribosomal RNA
Rfam family: Bacterial small subunit ribosomal RNA
Source: RNAcentral